AAUACACAAAUUUCCAAUCUAAAACCAAUCCCAUUAUAUAAUAUGAAUAAGUCAAUCUAAUUCCAGACAAACAACCAGCUGCAACAUCUUCCAAGCCCAUGACAAAAAAAAACUUCCAAUAAAGUCCAUAGCACCCAAGUUGCAUAGCCACACCAUCUAAAGCACUGGAGAAUUUUUAUUUGACCGUGAACCUUCAAAAGACUAAACAAAACCAUUAGCAAUCAACACUUGAAAACUGACAUCCUUUAACGGCAAGUUUAUUUCCACAAAACGCAACAUAGAAUACAAAUCCAAUUAAUGUCAUUUCACUAAUUACAUUUAAUCCAAUUUCAUCUAACAAAUAACAAGCUAACAUGCCAAUUCACGAUUUCAUACUCAUGGUUUCACACGGUUAUAUAAAAUGCAACAUUAACAGGAUUUAUUUAACAUUAUAACUUCUUAACAAUUUCAAAAAAAAUGAAACUAACAAAUAACAAAACUCAAUAAGUAACAAAGAUAAGCUCACUGCAGAAUUCCUAAAAACACUAAUUCUCAACUUCAAUUACUUCAGUAACACGUAGAGGCGACACAACGCAAUCACACACACAACAACGCAAUCAACAGGAAUUGAAAAAUGAGAAUAGGGGAAGAAGAAGCAUAAAAAAGAAAGGAAUUCGUACCUCUUUUUGCCAUCGCGUCGAAACUGGUAAGUUUAGCUUCAAUCUACGUUUAGUUUUCAUUGUCGAAAUCGUGAGGAUCGAAUUCAUGAUGCACAAGCGCGAUGCUCCACGAGGUCUUAAUUAAU
RNAcentral lists this long non-coding RNA (784 nucleotides) under Lathyrus oleraceus (garden pea). RNAcentral describes it as "Pisum sativum (pea) long non-coding RNA (PSAT_LNC037874)". Lineage: Eukaryota; Viridiplantae; Streptophyta; Magnoliopsida; Fabales; Fabaceae. The record is from RNAcentral.